AAGCUGUGUUAAAAGCUAACAUUAACUAUGCAUUAGAUGCGCUCGUAUAAAAUUAAAAUACGCAGUUUUACAGGCUUUGAAGUGGCUCGAUACACCAGUCCUCACAAAUCCGAAAUACAAGAAUCUCGAAAACAAAACUUUAUGGUAUCUGAACAAACCCACGUGAUUAUUUAUCGGCCAAUUUUCACUAAUAUUUUCAUAAAUGUAUCAAACUUUUUC
This is a non-coding RNA of Paramuricea clavata, 219 nucleotides long. NCBI's taxonomy places the organism in Eukaryota, Metazoa, Cnidaria, Anthozoa, Malacalcyonacea, Plexauridae. The record is from the annotation of a GenBank genome assembly.